CCGGGGGUGAGUGAGGACGCGGCCCCGCAGCGCCGCCGGGGGCCGGCCCGGCGCUUUACCUGCUCUGCCAGCCCUGCAGGAGGCUCAACUCUUCAUCUGAUGACCACAGUGUUCAGAAGACAUUGGAUGAACAAGGCAUGCUCCUUCAGGAAGCUCAGAUCCUGCUCGCUCAGGAUAAGGAUUGUCCUUAAUUUGUCUUCCUAACGUUACAAUGGCAGCCCAAAGCUGUGGAAACAAUACGCUUUAAUGAGAAUUUGCUGAAAGAUAAUUCUGUCAGGAAAAGAAGCCACCUUACACAUGAAUAGAAAUGCCUCUC
Long non-coding RNA from Lepidothrix coronata (blue-crowned manakin), 316 nucleotides. RefSeq lists it as uncharacterized. NCBI's taxonomy places the organism in Eukaryota, Metazoa, Chordata, Aves, Passeriformes, Pipridae. The transcript is spliced from 3 exons. The record is from RefSeq and is a predicted model, not a curated record.